Molecule: unclassified non-coding RNA, 431 nt
Filed under: uncultured fungus
Lineage: Eukaryota; Fungi
Description: partial contains 5.8S ribosomal RNA and internal transcribed spacer 2
Rfam family: 5.8S ribosomal RNA (bases 1-133)
Source: RNAcentral
UGGCUCUCGCAUCGAUGAAGAACGCAGCGAAAUGCGAUACGUAAUGUGAAUUGCAGAAUUCAGUGAAUCAUCGAAUCUUUGAACGCAUAUUGCGCUCUUUGGUAUUCCGAAGAGCAUGCUUGUUUGAGUAUCAGUAAACACCUCAACCUCCCCUUUCUAUUGUUGCAAGGCGGUUGGAUUUGAGCAAACCCAACUCUUUUUCUCGUGAAAAGAGACGGGUUGCUUGAAAUGCAGGUGCAGCUGUGGGAACAGACUGAGCUAAAAGCAUAUCCAUUUAGUCCUGCUGUCUAACUUGUUAGAAGGCGGAUUAUCUAUUUGCUGCAGCUACUCUAAGGUCGUCCUCGCGAUGAGCUGACUGAUGCAGGAUUUGUGAAGGAAUCGGUCGAUUCCUUUCAAAACUCGAUCUCAAAUCAAGUAAGACUACCCGCUGA